AUUGAACGCUGGCGGCAGGCCUAACACAUGCAAGUCGAGCGGUAACACAAGGGAGCUUGCUCCUGAGGUGACGAGCGGCGGACGGGUGAGUAAUGCCUAGGGAUCUGCCCAGUCGAGGGGGAUAACAGUUGGAAACGACUGCUAAUACCGCAUACGCCCUACGGGGGAAAGGAGGGGACCUUCGGGCCUUCCGCGACAGGAUGAACCUAGGUGGGAUUAGCUAGUUGGUGAGGUAAUGGCUCACCAAGGCGACGAUCCCUAGCUGUUCUGAGAGGAUGAUCAGCCACACUGGGACUGAGACACGGCCCAGACUCCUACGGGAGGCAGCAGUGGGGAAUAUUGCACAAUGGGGGAAACCCUGAUGCAGCCAUGCCGCGUGUGUGAAGAAGGCCUUCGGGUUGUAAAGCACUUUCAGUAGGGAGGAAAGGUAGCGUGUUAAUAGCCCGUUACUGUGACGUUACCUACAGAAGAAGGACCGGCUAACUCCGUGCCAGCAGCCGCGGUAAUACGGAGGGUCCGAGCGUUAAUCGGAAUUACUGGG
Molecule: ribosomal RNA, 541 nt
Filed under: Alteromonadales bacterium HD-I-03-6
Lineage: Bacteria; Pseudomonadati; Pseudomonadota; Gammaproteobacteria; Alteromonadales
Description: bacterial SSU rRNA
Rfam family: Bacterial small subunit ribosomal RNA
Source: RNAcentral